RNAcentral lists this small nucleolar RNA (83 nucleotides) under Phoenicopterus ruber ruber. RNAcentral's name for it is "Small nucleolar RNA SNORD45". It matches the Rfam family "Small nucleolar RNA SNORD45". Rfam says of the family: U45 belongs to the C/D class of snoRNA which contain the C (UGAUGA) and D (CUGA) box motifs. The record is from Rfam by way of RNAcentral. Lineage: Eukaryota; Metazoa; Chordata; Aves; Phoenicopteriformes; Phoenicopteridae.
GGUCGGUGAUGAGUUUUGGCAUGUAUUAUCUGAGUAUAAAUGUGAAGAUUAUCACUUUAGCUCUAGAAUUACUCUGAGACCUG